This 119-nucleotide ribosomal RNA is filed under the name Pteropus alecto (black flying fox). The record is from RNAcentral. Lineage: Eukaryota; Metazoa; Chordata; Mammalia; Chiroptera; Pteropodidae.
GUCUAUGGCCCUGCCACCCUGAACAAGCCCGAUCCCGUCUGAUCUCGGAAGCUAAGCAGGGUCGGGCCUGGUUAGUACUUGGAUGGGAGACCACCUAGGAAGAUCAGGUACUGUAGGCA